This 449-nucleotide ribosomal RNA is filed under the name uncultured bacterium. Its description in RNAcentral is "partial 16S ribosomal RNA". It matches the Rfam family "Bacterial small subunit ribosomal RNA", at positions 29 to 523 of the family's 1533-position model. The record is from RNAcentral.
AACGAACGCUGGCGGCAUGCCUAACACAUGCAAGUCGAACGAGAUCUUCGGGUCUAGUGGCGCACGGGUGCGUAACGCGUGGGAAUCUGCCCUUUGGUUCGGAAUAACAGUUGGAAACGACUGCUAAUACCGGAUGAUGACGAAAGUCCAAAGAUUUAUCGCCAGAGGAUGAGCCCGCGUAGGAUUAGCUAGUUGGUGUGGUAAAGGCGCACCAAGGCGACGAUCCUUAGCUGGUCUGAGAGGAUGAUCAGCCACACUGGGACUGAGACACGGCCCAGACUCCUACGGGAGGCAGCAGUGGGGAAUAUUGGACAAUGGGCGAAAGCCUGAUCCAGCAAUGCCGCGUGAGUGAUGAAGGCCUUAGGGUUGUAAGGUUCUUUUACCCGGGAUGAUAAUGACAGUACCGGGAGAAUAAGCUCCGGCUAACUCCGUGCCAGCCGCCGCGGUAA